RNAcentral lists this unclassified non-coding RNA (7204 nucleotides) under Leishmania donovani. Its description in RNAcentral is "gene:LdHU3.31.5290(CDS-product:acetyl-CoA_carboxy lase_putative)". Lineage: Eukaryota; Euglenozoa; Kinetoplastea; Trypanosomatida; Trypanosomatidae. The record is from RNAcentral.
CCUUCUGUGCACCAUCAGCUUUUCUCGCCCACGCCGCACGUCACUUCCGUGGAGCGGAGAUAACGCAACGCGUUGUGCUUUUCCGUUGUGCCUCACACGCUCGCUUCCCAAACUGUCAACCCUUCCCUGUGCAUAGAUCACACACACACACACACGCACACACAGUCGCAUUACGGCGAGGAAACGGGCGUGUCGUGCCACGAGCGCAGAUAUCUCCAACGCGUCGCUGCCCACAAAGAUGGAAGCGAUGCAGGAAAAGAGUUCCCCGGUGGGGUUCCGGUACGACUCCAUGGAGCAGCUGUGUAGCUCGCUCGGGGCUAUAAUGCCGAUCAAGCGCCUUCUUAUUGCCAACAACGGACUCGCCGCCGUGAAGGGGAUGGACUCGAUUCGAUCGUGGAUGUACGAGCACACGGGUGACUCCGAUGCGGUUCAGUUCGUGGUGAUGGCCACCCCAGAGGACCUAAAGGCGAACGCCGAAUUCAUCUCGCUCGCGGACAAGCAUAUUCCUGUUCCGGGCGGCAUGAAUAGCAACAACUACGCAAACGUGGAUGUCAUUAUGCAGACAGCGCUGCAGAACAUGUGUGACGCCAUCUACCCCGGCUGGGGCCACGCCUCCGAGAACCCGGCACUGCCGCGCGAGUGCAUGAAGUCAAAACGCGUCACCUUUCUUGGCCCGUCUGAAGAUGCCAUGUUUGCGUUGGGAGACAAGAUCGCCUCAACGAUUGUGGCGCAGUCCAACGGUGUACCGACGGUUCCGUGGAGCGGCGACAGCAUUCGCCUCCCCCCAAAGACCUUCUCUGUGGACGCCGCAGCGUACGAGAAGGCGUACGUGAACUCGCCGGAGGAGUGCGAGGAGGUGUGCCGCCGCAUCGGCUUCCCCGUGAUGAUCAAGGCGUCUGAAGGCGGUGGUGGCAAGGGUAUCCGCAGCUGCAAGUGUCUGAAGGACGUCAAGAGCUUGUUCUUCGCUGUGUCCGAGGAGGUGAAAGGCUGCCACAUCUUUGUGAUGCGCAUGCUGGAGAAUGUGCGUCACCUGGAGGUGCAGCUGCUUGCCGACUGCUACGGCAACUGCAUCGCCGUGCGCACGCGUGACUGCAGCGUGCAGCGGCGCCACCAAAAGAUUAUCGAGGAGGGCCCCGCCUUCGGGGUCGAUCCCGCCAUCAUCACGGCAAUGGAAAGAGCGGCCAUUCAGCUGGCCUGCGCGGUGAAAUACUGCGGUCUCGGCACGGUGGAGUACAUGUACGACAAGGAGACGCACAAGUUUUACUUUUUGGAGCUGAACCCGCGCAUCCAGGUCGAACACCCCGUCUCGGAGAUGAUCUCGGGCGUGAAUCUGCCGGCUGCCCUCUUCUGCGUCGGCAUGGGCAUCCCGCUCGACCGCAUUCCGGAGGUGCGCGCCUUCUACGGCGAGGACCCGUACGGCACCACCCCGAUCGACUUCUCGGCCCGCCAGAGCGUACCGCCGAAGUGCCAUACGAUCGCUGUGCGCGUGACGGCCGAGGAUACGGACGAAGGCUUCCGGCCGACCUCCGGCAAGGUGGAGGAGAUUGCCUUCAAGAACAGCAAGGAGUGCUGGGGCUACUUCUCCGUCGGCUCAGGCGGUGAGAUUCACCAGUACGCCGACUCGCAGUUUGGCCACAUCUUUUCCUCCGGCGAGACCCGCGAGGAUGCGCGCCGCGGGAUGGUGCUUGCGCUCCGCAAACUUGUCGUCCGCGGCGAAAUCCGCACGUCGACGUCGUACGCCAUGGAGCUGCUAGAGACGUCGGCCUUCCGCGACUGUGAUGUGAGCACGGCUUGGCUGGACGGCAUGAUCGCCAAGAAAGCGGCCGAAGCGCCGGCGCACCAGCGCAGCAUCCACUCCGCGCUGAUCGCCGCCAGCAUCUACCGCAACAUGCGCUGGAUGCAGGAACACAAGGACAAGUACAUCGCCUUCCUCGCCGCCGGCCACGUGCCGUCCACGGAGUAUCUCUCCAACCUUCACACCGAGUCCUACGUGAGCCGCUCGGAGAAGUACACGCUGAGCGCCGGUAUGGUGAGCCUGAACGAGUACGCCAUCUCCUUGAACGGCAGUAUCGUGCUGGUGCCGUACCGCAUCCUCACGUCCGGUGCCCUGCAACUGACCAUCGGCGACAAGACGCUGGUCGCCUACGUCGCCGAGGAGCCGAACAGCCUGCGCAUCACCAUCGGCGGCAAAGUGACGAACUUCUCCGGCGACGUUGACCCGACGAAAAUUAUGGCCAGCGUCCCCGGCCGCCUGGUGCGCUACGUCAUCGACGAUGACGGCCACGUCAACGAGGGCGACGCGUUUGCCGAGUUGGAGGUAAUGAAGAUGAUUCUGCCGCUGCGGGCCAGGACUACCGGUACGCUGCAUCACCGUGCCGUGCCCGGCACGACCAUCGCGAUGGGCUCGCUGCUGGCCGAGAUCACCCCGGACGACCCGAGCAAGGUCGCGCGACCGAAGGAGAUCGAAGACCCGUGGCCGACAGAGCUGCUUGUCGCCCGUCAGUACGAGCGACCAGACGGCGUGACGCGCGCGCGCCGCGCCGCGGAGUCGCUGUGGUUGCUUGUCAACGGCUUCCAUUUCAAGGAGAUUCCGAUCGAGGAGCGGGUGCGCAGGGCAUUCGCCGACCUCGCCUCGCUGGGUCUCUCGUCGGUCACGCUCAAGGCGGUCCACCUGCCCUUCAUUCCUGCCGAGAUAUGCGACGAGACGGAGGCGCGCCCGCAGACGCCGAGCGAGAAGUACCGCGCCAUCAUCGACGCCAUUGUGGACCGCUACGUCACCGUGGAGCAGCCCUUUGACGGGCACAGCCGGCAAGAGGCGAUCGAGGGGCUGCGCAACACCCUCGACGACAACGAGGCCGUCUUCCAGAUAGACUUUGCGCACAACCAGGAAUGCCACCACUACGUAAUGCGCAGCGUGCUGAAAUACCUCGAGAGCAACGCGCUGCUUCUCAAGUCUCUGAAAGGGACGCUGUCGAAGUUGGUCACCCUCAAGUCCUUCGCGUAUGGCUCACUGCUGUUGCAGGCGCGCUACCUGCUCCGCAUGUGCUCCUUGCCGUCCUUCACGGAGCGCAAGGCGCAGUUCGCGGAGGCCCUGGAGGAGGGCAGCCUGCGUAGCCUCGUCGCCAGCGGUUUCGGCUACGACCUCCUCUGCUCCAUCAUGUUCGACCGUCAGAUGGAGCACCUAGUGCACAUAUGCCUCGAGCUGUUCAUUCGCCGUGAGUACUCUGGCGAGAGCGAGAUCAAGGACCUGGACAUUUUGAAGCAGGGCACCAACUGGUACGCCAGCUACAACUUCGACCCCAUCGAGGAUGCGGAGGUGCUGCACAUGAGCGACGAGCUGGCUGUGGGGUCGCGAAGAAUAAUCGGUGGGCGGGGCAUCUGCGUCAUGCUGCCCGAUGAGAAGCUGCUCCAGUCGACGCUGGCCUCGUCGUUCCGCGAUGUUGUGUCACACUACAGCGACGACAUCGUCAUCGCAACCGUCUUCUUCUCCGUCUCGCGCGAGUCGACGCAGUCAGACGUGGCGCGCAUGUGUCGCCUGCUGAUGGAGGAGAACGCGGCCGUCUUUCAGAAGUUCGAAAAGCUCGAGACGGUGUACUUCAUGGCACAUGGGAUGCCGGAGGGGCCGCAUUUCUUCACGUUCCGGGCGGAGACGGGCUUCCAGGAGGACACACUGCUGCGCAACGUGCUGCCACAGUCGGCGCGUCGGCUGGAACUCGACCGGCUGUCGAACUACGAGGUGAGCAUGCACCCGACACCCUACAAGGAUGUACACGUGUUCAAGGCGGCCCCCAAGAAGGCUGGCGCGUCCGCGCUGGAGCACCGCAUGUUCGCGCGUGUGGCGGUGACGCCUCACGACAUGGGCAUGACUCCCUGGACGGAGGUGACGGACGUGGAUGUGGGCCACAUGCUGGCUAAGUGCCUGGCAGCGCUGCAGGUAGCCCGCGACGACUCGACGGUGAAGUUUCCGGACAGCAAUCACGUGUUCGUAAAGAUGAUUGAGCUGACCUUCGACGUCCGCUCGCUGCAGCCCCUGCUGGUGGCGGCGGCCAGCUCGUACCAGGAGAAGCUGACGGAGUUGGGUGUGCGGGAUGUGGAAGUAUCCUUUCACGUGAAGGUGCCGUCGGGUCUCAUUCCAAUGCGUGUCAUCGCCAAGAGCCCGUCUGGCUAUGGCGUGUCGGUGCAUGUCUACUACGAGUCACUGUCGAACGGCCAGCUGCAGCUGCACCGUGCCGAGACGUCUGAGGACGUCGACUACUCGUCCACGGGCCGCUCCGCCGAGUCCCUGCUGGAGAUGAGCCUCACCUCCCCUAUGAUGCCGGCGCCGCGCGGGACGCCGCAUCUGAUGCGCACCGCGUCGAAGCUGGGGGACCUGCGCGAGAUGCUGCCGUCCGAAAAAGAGCAGCAAAUUUCCGUCGAUAUGAUGUCGGAGCCGACGGAGACGCGCCACCGCGCCAUCACUCUCGGGCCGUACCCACAGCUUGAAGCGCGUGACGUGAAGCGCCUGCAGGCACGCCGCGCCGGCACGACGUACGUGCACGACUGGCCGGCCGUGCUGAACCUUAUCCUACGUAAGGAGUGGAUGAAGCUGCGCUGCGCGCUGGAUCUGCCUCACACCUCCAUCCCAAAGAACCCGCUGCGCGCCACGGAGCUCUUUCUUUGCGAGGACGGGGAAUUGCUGUCGACGAGAAGGACCUUCGCGCAGUCGUGUGGCAUGGUGGUGUGGAUGGUCGAGUACGCGCCGCCGCGCUACUUCGAUAUGGAGUUGAAGACGGCACAGACGCGCCGCAUCGUGGUCGUCGCCAAUGACAUCACCUUUCAGUCCGGAUCCUUCGCCGUCCCGGAGGACUGCGUCUUCAAGGCCGCCUCGGUGCUUGCCCGCGCGCAGCACGUGCCGUUUGUGUACAUUAGCACCAACAGCGGCGCACGUCUUGGCCUCAGCACCGAGGUCAAGAAGAGGUUCCUCGUCGAGUUCACGGAGAAGAAUGAUAUAGCCUACCUGUACCUCACCAAGAGCGACUACGAGGAGCUGAGGGAACGGAAGAAGAUUCAGAUGGAGGCGGAGCCGCUUGAGGUGAAAGGCGAAACGCGGUACGUGAUAAAAGGCGUGGUGGGCGGGCCGACGGAGUACAUCGGCGUUGAAAACCUGAGCGGGUCCGGUCUCGUGGCGGGUGAGAUGUCGAAGAACUACAGCGAGAUCCCGACCAUCAGCCUCGUCUCGGGGCGCAGUGUCGGCAUCGGCGCCUACCUGAACCGUCUUGGCCGCCGCGUCAUCCAGACGAACGACUCGCCUCUCAUCCUGACUGGCGCCGGUGCUCUCAACCGACUGCUCGGCAAGGACGUGUACAUGGGCAACAGCCAGCUCGGCGGCAAGCAGAUUAUGGUGCCGAACGGUGUCACGCACUGGUGCACACACCACGACUACGGCUCUGCCCGCGUGCUGCUGCGGUGGCUCGACUACGUGCCGGCUGUCCUGCACCCUCGGCGCUGCACACCGCAUCGCCUGCUCUGGGCCUCUGCCGACCCGAUCGAUCGCGACGUGACCUUCUGCCCGACGUCGAACACGCAGUACGACCCGCGCCUCCUCGUGACGGGACUGCUCAGUCAGACGGGCCUGUUCGACCGCGGCUCGUGGAUGGAGACGCUGGAGGGGUGGGCACGUACGGUGGUGGUCGGCCGCGCCACGCUCGGCGGCAUCCCCUGCGGCGUUAUCCUUGUUGAGACGCGCCUGACGAAGAAGUUCGACCCGGCAGAUCCGGCUGACCCGACCUCGACGUCUUCUUUUAUUACGCAGGCGGGCCAGGUGUGGUUUCCCGACUCGGCACGCAAGACGGCCGACGCCCUCGAUGACUUCCACCAUGAACGGCUGCCAUGCUUCAUCCUGGCGAACUGGCGCGGCUUCUCGGGUGGCAUGCGCGACAUGUUUGACGAAGUGCUGAAGUUUGGCGCCUCCAUCGUCGACAACCUCCGCGUCUACACUGCGCCGGUCUUCAUCUACAUUCCGCCAGGGGGCGAGCUGCGAGGUGGGGCCUGGGUGGUCGUGGACCCGACGAUCAACCACAACGGCGUCGUCGAGAUGUACUGCGACCCGUCCUCGCGCGGUGGCAUCCUUGAGCCGUCUGGUGUGGUAGAGAUCAAGUUUCGCGACGACGACGUGCUGCAGCUGAUUCGGCGCAGUCGGCCGGACCUCGCAGCGAUGGAGGCGAAGGCGGCCCGUGAGGCCGAGAAAGAGCUGCUGCCGCAUUACCGCGACGUUGCGGUGCGCUUCGCCGAUCUGCAUGACACGUACGUGCGGAUGAAAGCGACCGGUGUGGUGCGCGACGUCGUCCCGUGGAAAGAUAGCCGCCGCCACUUCUACCACAAGCUGCAACGCAAACUGAAGGAGCUGGAGGUGGCGAACGAUAUGCUCGAGGUCGGCGUCGUCGACUCCCUUGCAGGGGGCGUUCGCAAGGUCGAGGAGUGCUACUCGGUGGCGCACCCCAACGGACCGGCGUGGGGCACGGCCGACCAGGAUCAACUGAAGUGGCUGCAGGGUCUCGAUGGCACCUGGGUUGGGGAGAGCAACGGCCACGCGGCUCUGAACAACAGCGAAUGGGCGAAGGAACUGCAGCGCCUGCUCACCCAGCACGGCGGUGAGGAGAGCUCGAUGGAGCGCGCGCUGGCGAAACUCUUCGAGAACCCGGCAAUCGCCAAGGCCGCGAAGGUAGCCUUGGACUCGUCGGCCUGUGCGCACAGCACGGCUGAAUAGAUGCGGGCUGAUUUCGUUCGCUCGAGCGUGCGUGAUGAGGAGAGAGGAGGGUGUCCUGCGCGAUGCGGCUGUUUUGAAUUUGUUGCUGUUUAUCUCUUUUCUCUCUGUGCUUCUAACUUAAAAUAUACAAUACAGGGGGGUGGGAAGGGAAGAGUCCACUUCGUCGGGGCGCUGCCGAUGGGACGUGGCGACGCUUCGUGUCGACGGCUUUGUGGGUGGUGUGGCGCAGUAGAGGGUACCGCGAUCUCCUUUGUUUUCUCUGUCUUUGUGCGUCUGCAUCCACAGCGGCGUGUCGGCACGUUCCGAGCACAGCGCUGCGGUUUGCGAACAUAUACCUCCCCUGUCAGCUCGGGAUUCUCCCCAUCUUCCGCGCGUGGUCGUCUCCCGCUCUGUCUUUCUCUCUACUCAUAUACAUUUCUCCUGUUGUAAAUGUUUUGCAUCAUCUGUGUCACUGCGCAG